This 1548-nucleotide ribosomal RNA is filed under the name Triticum aestivum (bread wheat). Its description in RNAcentral is "partial small subunit ribosomal RNA". The record is from RNAcentral. Lineage: Eukaryota; Viridiplantae; Streptophyta; Magnoliopsida; Poales; Poaceae.
AUGGACCGCGCCGCGCUCCCGGCGGCCGUCGAGCCCAAGAAGAAGGGCAACGUGAGGUUCGCCUUCGCCUGCGCCAUCCUCGCCUCCAUGACCUCCAUCCUCCUCGGCUACGACAUCGGCGUGAUGAGUGGAGCGUCGCUGUACAUCCAGAAGGACCUGAAGAUCAACGACACCCAGCUGGAGGUCCUCAUGGGCAUCCUCAACGUGUACUCGCUCAUUGGCUCCUUCGCGGCGGGGCGGACGUCCGACUGGAUCGGCCGGCGCUUCACCAUCGUCUUCGCCGCCGUCAUCUUCUUCGCGGGAGCCCUCAUCAUGGGCUUCUCCGUCAACUACGCCAUGCUCAUGUUCGGCCGCUUCGUGGCCGGCAUCGGCGUGGGGUACGCUCUUAUGAUCGCGCCCGUGUACACGGCCGAGGUGUCCCCCGCGUCUGCCCGUGGCUUCCUCACCUCCUUCCCGGAGGUGUUCAUCAACUUCGGCAUCCUGCUCGGAUAUGUCUCUAACUUCGCCUUCGCCCGCCUCUCCCUCCACCUCGGCUGGCGCAUCAUGCUCGGCAUAGGCGCGGUGCCGUCCGUCCUGCUCGCGUUCAUGGUGCUCGGCAUGCCCGAGUCUCCCCGGUGGCUCGUCAUGAAGGGCCGUCUCGCGGACGCCAAGGUUGUUCUUGCCAAGACUUCCGACACGCCCGAGGAGGCCGCUGAGCGCCUCGCCGACAUCAAGACUGCCGCCGGCAUCCCUCUGGACCUCGACGGCGACGUGGUCGCCGUGCCCAAAAACAAAGGAAGCAGCGAGGAGAAGCGCGUGUGGAAGGACCUCAUCCUUUCCCCGACCAAAGCCAUGCGCCACAUCCUCAUCGCGGGAAUCGGCAUCCACUUCUUCCAGCAGUCUUCGGGCAUCGACGCCGUCGUGCUCUACAGCCCGCGAGUUUUCAAGAGCGCCGGCAUCACGGGCGACAACCGCCUCCUCGGCACCACCGUGGCCGUCGGGGCCACCAAGACAGUCUUCAUCCUGGUGGCCACCUUCCUCCUCGACCGCAUCGGCCGGCGGCCGCUUCUGCUGAGCAGCACGGGCGGCGUGAUCGUCUCCCUAGUGGGCCUCGCGACGGGGCUCACCGUCAUCAGCCGCCACCCGGACGAGAAGAUCACCUGGGCCAUCGUCCUGUGCAUCUUCUGCAUCAUGGCCUACGUGGCCUUCUUCUCCAUCGGCCUCGGCCCCAUCACUUGGGUGUACAGCUCGGAGAUCUUCCCGCUGCACGUGCGCGCGCUGGGCUGCUCCCUCGGCGUGGCCGUCAACCGCCUGACCAGCGGCGUGAUCUCCAUGACCUUCAUUUCGCUGUCCAAGGCCAUGACCAUCGGCGGCGCCUUCUUCCUCUUCGCCGGCAUCGCCUCGUUCGCCUGGGUGUUCUUCUUCGCCUACCUGCCGGAGACCCGCGGCCGCACGCUGGAGGACAUGAGCUCGCUGUUCGGCCACACGGCCACGCACAAGCAGGGCGCCGCGGAUGCCGACGACGACGCCGGGAAGGAGAAGAAGGUGGAAAUGGCCGCCACCAACUGA